Molecule: ribosomal RNA, 395 nt
Filed under: uncultured bacterium
Lineage: Bacteria
Description: bacterial SSU rRNA
Rfam family: Bacterial small subunit ribosomal RNA
Source: RNAcentral
GUGUCAGCAGCCGCGGUAAUACGUAGGGGGCAAGCGUUGUCCGGAUUUAUUGGGCGUAAAGGGCGUGUAGGCGGCCUGUUAAGUCAGAGGUGAAAAUCCAGGGCUCAACCCUGGAACUGCCUCUGAAACUGGUGGGCUUGAGUGCUCUAGAGGGCAGUGGAAUUCCCGGUGUAGCAGUGAAAUGCGUAGAGAUCGGGAGGAACACCAGUGGCGAAGGCGACUGCCUGGGGAGCAACUGACGCUGAGGCGCGAAAGCUGGGGGAGCAAACGGGAUUAGAUACCCCGGUAGUCCCAGCCGUAAACGAUGAGUGCAAGGUGUAGCGGGUAUCGACCCCUGCUGUGCCGGCGUUAACGCAAUAAGCACUCCGCCUGGGGAGUACGGCCGCAAGGUUGAA